This 380-nucleotide transfer-messenger RNA is filed under the name Candidatus Dormiibacterota bacterium. It matches the Rfam family "transfer-messenger RNA". Rfam says of the family: Bacterial tmRNA, also known as 10Sa RNA or SsrA, is named for its dual tRNA and mRNA-like properties. Its role is to liberate the mRNA from a stalled ribosome. The record is from RNAcentral. Lineage: Bacteria; Bacillati; Candidatus Dormiibacterota.
GGGGGCGUCUGGUCUCGACGGGGCAGUUGGGCUUCGGGAUAGCGAGCCGAAGGCGUGAGCGUCACAGCGCAAGGCAACACAAAUGCCAACGAUCGACCACAGCUCGCCCUCGCUGCGUAAGUAGCGACGGGAUGAGUUCCCGGGACUUAGAUCCCGGGCGUCGCCCCCGGCGGUGCCGGCCCGUCGGGGUAAGCGGCGUCACAACAGCCGGCUAGCCGGUCCGCGGUGGCGGCGGCCGCGGACCGGGACACGAAGCGCCGCUGGCCGGGUGGGAUCCCGUCGGGAGGAGCCCAGCGGCGAGACCAAAAUCCCGAAUACGCUCGUAGAGGUCCCGGGGGACUCUGCUUCGGACGCGGGUUCAACUCCCGCCGCCUCCACCA